CAGCCGCCACGGGAAUACGGAGGGUGCAAGCGUUAAUCGGAAUUACUGGGUGUAAAGCGCACGCAGGCGGUCUGACAAGUCAGAUGUGAAAUCCCCGGGCUUAACCUGGGAACUGCAUUUGAAACUGUCAGGCUGGAGUCUUGUAGAGGGGGGUGGAAUUCCAGGUGUAGCGGUGAAAUGCGUAGAGAUCUGGAGGAAUACCGGUGGCGAAGGCGGCCCCCUGGACAAAGACUGACGCUCAGGUGCGAAAGCGUGGGGAGCAAACAGGAUUAGAGACCCGCGUAGUCCCUGUCUCUUAUAC
This 301-nucleotide ribosomal RNA is filed under the name uncultured bacterium. RNAcentral describes it as "partial 16S ribosomal RNA". It matches the Rfam family "Bacterial small subunit ribosomal RNA", at positions 509 to 807 of the family's 1533-position model. The record is from RNAcentral.